CCUACGGGAGGCAGCAGUAGGGAAUCUUGCACAAUGGGCGAAAGCCUGAUGGAGCAACGCCGCGUGGGUGAAGAAGGUCUUCGGAUCGUAAAACCCUGUUGUUAGAGAAGAAAGUGCGUGAGAGUAACUGUUCACGAUUCGACGGUAUCUAACCAGAAAGCUCCGGCUAACUACGUGCCCGCAGCCGCGGUACUACGUAGGUGGCAAGCGUUAUCCGGAUGUAUGGGGCGUAAAGGGAACGCAGGCGGUCUUUUAAGUCUGAUGUGAAAGCCUUCGGCUUAACCGGAGUAGUGCAUUGGAAACUGGGAAGCUUGAGUGCAGAAGAGGAGAGUGGAACUCCAUGUGUAGCGGUGAAAUGCGUAGAUAUAUGGAAGAACACCAGUGGCGAAGGCGGCUCUCUGGUCUGAAACUGACGCUGAGGUUCGAAAGCGUGGGUAGCAAACAGGAUUAGAUACCCGAGUAGUC
This 465-nucleotide ribosomal RNA is filed under the name uncultured bacterium. RNAcentral's name for it is "partial 16S ribosomal RNA". It matches the Rfam family "Bacterial small subunit ribosomal RNA", at positions 338 to 795 of the family's 1533-position model. The record is from RNAcentral.